AUACGGAGGAUGCGAGCGUUAUCCGGAUUUAUUGGGUUUAAAGGGUGCGUAGGCUGUUCGGAAAGUCAGGGGUGAAAGCCCGGCGCCUAACGCCGGAACUGCCUUUGAUACUUCCGAGCUGGAAUACGGAUGCCGUGGGAGGAAUGCGUAGUGUAGCGGUGAAAUGCAUAGAUAUUACUCAGAACACCGAUUGCGAAGGCAUCUCACGAAUCCGUCAUUGACGCUGAGGCACGAAAGCGUGGGGAUCAAACAGGAUUAGAUACCCUGGUAGUCCACGCAGUAAACGAUGAUGACUAACCGUCGGCGAUACACAGUCGGUGGCCAAGCGAAAGCGAUAAGUCAUCCACCUGGGGAGUACGUUCGCAAGAAUGAAACUCAAAUGAAUUGGCGGGG
RNAcentral lists this ribosomal RNA (393 nucleotides) under uncultured bacterium. RNAcentral describes it as "partial 16S ribosomal RNA". It matches the Rfam family "Bacterial small subunit ribosomal RNA", at positions 523 to 918 of the family's 1533-position model. The record is from RNAcentral.